CCUACGGGUGGCUGCAGUGAGGAAUAUUGGUCAAUGGCCGCAAGGCUGAACCAGCCAAGUCGCGUGAGGGAUGACGGUCCUCUGGAUUGUAAACCUCUUUUGUCAGGGAGCAAAGGGCGCCACGUGUGGCGUUUUGCGAGUACCUGAAGAAAAAGCAUCGGCUAACUCUGUGACAGCAGCCGCGGUAAUACGGAGGAUGCGAGCGUUAUCCGGAUUCAUUGGGUUUAAAGGGAGCGUAGGUGGAUUGUUAAGGCAGUUGUGAAAGUUUGCGGCUUAACCGUAAGAUUGCAGUUGAAACUGGCAGUCUUGAGUACAGGAGAGGUGGGCGGAAUUCGUGGUGUAGCGGUGAAAUGCUUAGAUAGCACGAAGAACUCCGAUUGCGAAGGCAGUUCACUGGACUGCAACUGACACUGAGGCUCGAAAGCGUGGGUAUCAAACAGGAUUAGAUACCCGGGUAGUC
Molecule: ribosomal RNA, 460 nt
Filed under: uncultured bacterium
Lineage: Bacteria
Description: partial 16S ribosomal RNA
Rfam family: Bacterial small subunit ribosomal RNA
Source: RNAcentral